GAUGAACGCUGGCGGCGUGCCUAAUACAUGCAAGUCGAGCGAACAGACGAGGAGCUUGCUCCUCUGACGUUAGCGGCGGACGGGUGAGUAACACGUGGAUAACCUACCUAUAAGACUGGGAUAACUUCGGGAAACCGGAGCUAAUACCGGAUAAUAUAUUGAACCGCAUGGUUCAAUAGUGAAAGACGGUUUUGCUGUCACUUAUAGAUGGAUCCGCGCCGCAUUAGCUAGUUGGUAAGGUAACGGCUCACCAAGGCAACGAUGCGUAGCCGACCUGAGAGGGUGAUCGGCCACACUGGAACUGAGACACGGUCCAGACUCCUACGGGAGGCAGCAGUAGGGAAUCUUCCGCAAUGGGCGAAAGCCUGACGGAGCAACGCCGCGUGAAUGAUGAAGGUCUUCGGAUCGUAAAACUCUGUUAUUAGGGAAGAACAAAUGUGUAAGUAACUAUGCACGUCUUGACGGUACCUAAUCAGAAAGCCACGGCUAACUACGUG
This 497-nucleotide ribosomal RNA is filed under the name uncultured bacterium. RNAcentral's name for it is "partial 16S ribosomal RNA". It matches the Rfam family "Bacterial small subunit ribosomal RNA", at positions 28 to 507 of the family's 1533-position model. The record is from RNAcentral.